AGAUACUAAGAGUAACAUGCAACUUAAUAGUUCUACCAAGAGUCGAAACGAACACCCAUAACGGUUCAGAAUUACAGUCCACAAUGAAUUUAACACGGCAUUCGAAGUUCAAUUAUGCCGACCCCAAAAUACAAACAGAAAGUUCAAUUCAGACUUCCUGUUCUUCAACUCUUCAGUCUUGCACCAAAAGUAUUGAAUCGAACAGAGACCUUCACUUCAGACUUCCUGUUCAUCCACCCGUUAGUCUUCAUCAAACCAAAAGCUCUUUUGCUCCCAUGCCGCUUAACCUUGCAAUUAAAGCAUUGUGAAUUAUAUAAACAUUACAAGUAGAUGGCAGAAACAACAAUUCAAUGAUGGCAACCGCAAUUAGAACAACAUAUAAAAUCAUAUGGGCAGAAACAAUGUGAAUUAUAUAAAUAUUACAAGUAGACGGAAGAAACAACUCAUAGAUGACAACCCAAAUUAAAACAACAUAUAAAUUCAGAUGGACUAAAGCAUUGUGAAUUAUAUAAACAUUACAAGUAGAUGACAGCAAUAACUCAUAGAUGGCAGCCCCAAUUGAAACACCAUAUAGAAUCAUAUGGACUAACGCAUUGUGAAUUAUAUAAACAUCAAGUAGAUGGCAGAAACAACAGUUAAUAGAUGGCAACCCCAAUUGAAACAACAUAUAAAAUCAUAUGGACUAAAGCAAACACCACAUGUUUAUGACAGAAUAUAAGAAAGUGCAUAAAUGGGAAAUUUUUGAUGUCAUCACAAGGAACUUACUUGUCAAUUGUAAAGGCUGGUGACCUCCUUCACCUUCUUUGCUUGCCUAACCCGUUCAGAUCUACGGUUCACCAAACUACCAUCACUUGUUACCUCAACAUUGUUUCCAACUUGGCUUGUUAAAUCCUUUUCAACUUGCAUUGGCGCAUCUCCUCCAUCAGAUUGACUUGCACCAUCAUCAUGGCUAUCAUCAUCAUCAUCAAUUUCCAGGUCCAGCUCCUCAUUUUCUUCAUCAUCAUCCUCACUAUCAUGGUAGUCAUCCUCUUCUUCCUCUACCCUCUUUCUUUUCCUGCCAUUGUCCUUCCUUGCAAGACGAGAAACUUUCCUACUUGAGUUAAGCAAACGUAUUUUCUCAAAUACGACACUAGCAGCAUCAACUCCAUCCAAGAUUGCAUGCUCCUCAUCCUCAUUUAACCAUUCCAUCAUAGGAUUUGUUGCAUCAAACAUGGUUGUAUCCAUCAUCAUUGCACAUGCAUCAACUUCCUUCUGCUUAUCAUUCUCUCUCACCGGGUCUUCUUCUUCUUCAGCACGUAUCUUCAAAAUGUGAAAACAAAAUCAGUCAAUGACAAAGAAGUACAAAGAAUAAAAUGGAUAAAGUUGCUAUGUAUAAAACAAUGCUUAUUAGAUAGCAGCCCUUACUCUAAAUAUUGCUAAGUAAACAUCAACAUUUACUUUAAAUAACAACCUAGUAACAGUCUUUAAUAAAUAGUAGCAUUUACUUAGUAAACAACAUCCUUUAUUUCAAACAAUGCUUAGUAAACAACAGUAUGCAGGUGAAUCAUGGCAUAUGGGUGAAUAAUGGCAUAUGGGCAAAACAUAUUUCAUACCUUCAAGUUGUAGCGCACAGAUACAAGCUUGUGCAGCUUGCCAUAUAGAAGACGGUUUCUUUGCUUGGUGUGGACCAAAGCAAAAGCGCUCCAAUUCCUCUCACAGCCACUUGACGAAACGCAUUGUGAUACAAUCCUCAAGGCACACUUCUGCAGAUUAGGAACUUCCCUCUUCUUCCGCAUUGAGUCAUCCCGGGAUUCCCUCAUUGCAGCACAAAUAUUUCUUGGAACAUUAGGGCACUCCCUCACAUCACCUGGUAUACCUCCAAGGUGCUCCCUAAAGCGGGUUGCACCUCCUCCUCUAGUGAUUAGGGGGCAGUACCGACAAACAAAUCCCCCACCAAACUUCGGGCCAUGGUUCCAAAUAUAAUAGAUGUCAUUGCUUACAAGCCCUACAUAUCAAAAUUUCAAGCACCAUGUUAGCAAUGCAUCAUGAUAUAUAGCUACAACACACUAAACAACAUUUCAACUCUAAAUGCAUCAUAAUACAAAAUAAAAACUGAGUAAGGAAUAAAAAAGAAUGAACCAGGACAAUAACAAGAAUUAGCAUAAUGUUUACAACAGAAUAAACAACAUUUCUACUCUAAAUGCAUCAUACAAGGAUUAGCAUGAUUAUUACAACAGAAUAAACAACAUUCCAACUUUAAAUGCAUAAUAACAUCAAGUAAAAAGAUAAUAAGGCAGAAAAAAGGGAAUUGCCACAUUUUUUACUUUUACUGCAUAACAAAAUCAGGUAAAAGCUAACAAACAGAAUUAGAACCAUUUUAACUUUAAACAUAACUAAUACAUUUUUUAUUUAAAUGUUUCCUCUCUAAAAGUAUCACAAUAUCCAUACAAAAAGUUAAGCAAAUUAAGAAAAUGCAGAUCAUGGUAUUGACCUUUCCAAGUUGUCUCUCUUGGAGCUGAACCAUUCCCCAUCAGAAUGUUAUCUUCAUUGUCGGGGUUGACAUUUUCCCUCCUUUUGGCUUCAUCGAUGCUCACCCUACUAACAUAGGGUGCACUUCCAUCACCUAUAAAUUCAAGCAUGAGAAGCAAGCAUGCGAUAAAGAUCAACUUUAUUUGCAAAAAAAUGGCAAUCUAUUUUAACAAUGGCAUGCAACCAAAGUUGAGAACAUAUUAUCAUGUGUGGAAGAUGGCAUUAUCUAGCAUGUUCAGAAUCCGGAUCAACAUUUGUAAAUUUACCACUGAUGGUAAAAGGGCUUGCUGUGUUUUGCAGAGAUAAAUGUUUGUACACAUUGUUUGCGUCCUCAUGUAUGUCAGCACUUGAACAAAGAGUGGAUCACAGAAAGAGAACCUUGAUACAAUACAAAAAAACUGUGGAUUUAUGGACCAGUUAGUGCUGCUGAAAUUUUAUUGGGAUUUUUUUCUUCAUCAAGUAAUGUUGCAGGGUUGACGACAGCAUGAAUAAAUCAAGGGAGAUAGUACAAGAUAUUAGAAACAAUGCUACUGAACAAGCUAGUAAAAGAUCCUUCCUAGGUGCCUACGUGUGCUAUCAUCAACACUUGCUAAAUAAGCAUGCACGUACCGCUAACUACAGAUCAUGGUAAGGUGAGCUAUCAUGCACAAUUGUGCUCCUGUAUGAAGCAAGUGUGCAUGCUGAACCUAGCUACAGAUCUUCACAAAUGAAAAGCUAGCUACAGAUCUUGCAAGAUGAGCCAGCAUACGUGCAUGUACAAGAUUAGAGGAACAUAGUUACAGUACGUCAGUACCAUGUCCAGCUUGCCGGAAACCAGCGCGUGCGUCUGGCGCCGGGGCACUACCCAAGCCCGACUGGAUGCGCCGCAUGCUGCUGCUCCCAUGGAGCCGUUCAACGCCCGAGCCCACCUGCCCCUACAUCGAAGUUGUGCGGCCGUUCUCCAUGGCGCUGCCACCACCGUCCAUGGACGGGAAAGAGACUGGGAGGGAGGAGAUUGGGAGGGAGGGAGACAAGGGAGGAGAUUGGGAGGGAGGGAGACGAGCUGGAUGGGAGGAGGCGGCGCUGCACCGCGCCCCCGCCUCACUCGCUAGGGUUUCGUUGCCCACAGUCGCCGCUCAGUCGGAUGGAGACGGGAAAAGUGAAUUUUAGGGUUAGGAGGAGAUGAAUUCGUGCUUUUAUACCAUAGGGGGGUUUGUGUGGGCUGUAGUAGACCAUGGGCUGGGCUGUGAGUUUAAAAGUGGCCGAAUUUUUUGGGCCGGUACACCCUAUUACCGGGCCCUAACAAGAUGGCCGAAAAUCGCUGGAAUUUCGGUUUUCUCGGACGAAAUCCAAAACUUUGGUCUGCAGGCCCUGAGCUGGCUGAUGUAUCUGCUUGGCAUGGAAUUGGCAGGCUUCGCAGGCCUUCACCAGCUCAAUUGCGUCGUUGAGUGCCGUAGGCCAGUAGAACCCGCUGCAAAACGCCUUGCCGACGAGGGUCCGCGACGACGAGUGGUGUCCACAAUCCCCACCGUGUAUGUCAGCCAGCAACUCCUUCCCCUGUUCCCUAGAGAUGCAACACAAGGAAACAUCAUUUGGCCGCUUCCGGUAGAGCUUCCCGUCUUGUAUGCAGUAGGCCGUGGCCUGCUGGGCUACGCGUUCCGCGUCCUCCUCUUUCUCUGGUAGCGUCCCCUGCAUCAGGUAGUCCUUGAAUUCCGUGGUCCAACAUUCCUCCUGAGGCUCCAUCGCCAGGAGCAAGCGUGCUCCCGAGGUCGGGCCACAGGCCGAGGCUCCUAUGGCAGGUGGUUGAGGGAGUUCCUCCCGAGGUUGCGCCAUGCUUGAUAGUGAAGGCGCUGCCGAUGGCUUGAAGAGUCAUUCCUCGAAAACGCCAGGCUCCUGAGGCAGCCGCCUGGAUGCCCUUUUGGCGAUGUCAUCAGCCUCUUGAUUGGUGUCUUGGGGCACGUCUGGAUACCCCCAUAUCCAGAACGUCGACAAGGUGCCGCCGCUCCCGUCCAGUGUCGGCCGCCGUGCUAAGGUUUUCUCCCGCGACUCCGAUCGAUCCGGUCGCUCCUCACCUCCGAUCGAUCCAAUCCAGCGCCUCGCAUCAAGCACACGGCAGGCCGCUCCUGUGUGCGCCUCAAAUUGGGACUGGUUGCACGCACAAACUGUCGCUCCUCUAGAUCCCUCAUUGAUGGACCCCUUUAGCUAAUAGCAACACGGGAUUGAACUCCGAUGACGUUUCAGCUCGCCACCACCAUCGCUGUUGGCCUUGGUUAGGGUUAGCGAGCACACCAAUCGCCCACGACUGAUCAGUUUGAUGCUUUUGGACCGAUCUUUCUCCUCGCGGAAAGCUCCCUCGUGUGGGCCGUUUUUCCCAAUUAACACAAAACGUCCAAAAAAAACCACCGGAGCAGCUGCCCGAGAAGGUCAGCUGCUCGUCAAGAAGACUGUACACGCGAUUUAGGUGCUAUUGAGAGCGAAUCCGACGGCCAAAAGCGACUAAAAGUGGCGAUCCAACGAUUAGAAAUGUUGAUGGCUGAGAGAGUUGGGAGGGUGUGACUGUACACGCGAUUUAGGUGCUAUUAAGAGCGAAUCCGACGGUCAAAAGCGACUAAAAGUGGCGAUCCAACGAUUAGAAAUGUUGAUGGCCUGAGAGAGUUGGGAGGGUGCUCAGUUAUAAUGUAUCUAACUGUAGUCGCUUGUUGAAAUCUCUAGAAAUACAAAUAUUUAGGAAUGGAGAGAGUAGUUCACAUUUAAAAAACUGUCGAAAACUUAGGCUUUGGAUUUAUUUUUUGAGAGAGGGUUUUUUUAGAAACUUUUGAGAGAGAUAGGAUGGGCCUACUUCCACCAAGGCCGGCCUAGUAGUUUGCUGAACCCAGCCCAACCAACCAACCAAGGCUCCUCCUUUGGUUUAUAGCCGAGGCGGAGCCACGGAGGAGGCGGUGCUGCUUUGCUUCGCUUCGCGGGAGGCAGGGAAAGUCGGCCAACCUCCCCGCUGCCGGCGUCGCCGUCGGUCGUGUCUCCGCCCGCAGGUGAGCCGCCGGCCUCCACCCGCCCCUCCCCUCCCCCUCCGCCUCCCCCGCCUAGGGUUUUGUGCUUCUCCAAGCAGAGCUGACGAGCAUUUCCCCCAUUCCGUUGUUCGUCGCUGCCGCAGGCCCCGCCGCCUCCGACCUCCUCUCCGGCGAGCUCGGCGACUCCCUCGACGCGGAUUCCGACGCUCCUCCCGCUUCCGCACGCCCGCAGGUGCAGGUGAGAAGCGCGCGCCCUCACCUCCCUCCCCCUCACCCCCUCUCCGACUCCCUCAGCAGCGCCAUCCCCUGCUCGUAGUCAGCAGUUAAUCGACGGGACGGAGGGCCCGUACGUAUCGCGGCCAACGUUCGCAUUCGGGGUCGGGAUUUUGGCCGGGAAGGUUGUGCGGUGACCUGUUCUUCGCCGGGAAUGUUUCCCUGCGAACUGCUCUUGGCCGACAGAUCGUUUCUGCAAAUUUUGGCCGGGAUUUGGGAUGGGGAUUUUGGCCGGGUUUCACGUCCCAGGCUCCCGGUUGUUCUGUUCUUAUUUACUAUUAGGUAUCAUAUUACUUGAGUUCUUAAGUUACUGCUGGGAUUCAUGAAUCAUGCCAAUGAUGCUGGCUAGCGUAUUCCGAGCAGAUAUUUCAACUGAUUGCUUAGUGCUAUGGUGAUCUGUUUACCGAGUGGCAUGAGAUUUUACUUGACUUGUUCUUAGUGCGUUGCUUAGCCCAAUUUGUGUGCACAUUGCUGUAAGAUGAGCUGUGCUGUGUGAUGUUCCUUUACAAUGAUAGACUCUGUCUCUCCUGCAUUCCGAUGCAUUUGUAAUUAAGUGACCUGUUGAUGUUGGGAUCGGUUCUUAGUUAUUGGUAUAAUUGAUGAAUGCUUGCUAAUGGUGCCACCAACUGUUUUGUUUGUUACCGUAUUCUGAGCAAAAAAUCAUUAAGAUUACCCUAGUUUCCGAGAAAUUGGUUGCUGAACCAAUUAUAUCUGUCAACCCUUGCUGAGUGUUAAGUACUAGGUGUUUUCUAGGAUACAGAUGCUUUCAAAAUUUUAAUUAGUUUCAAUUCUCCAGGCAAGCAUUCAUCUUCUUUUGAUUGGCAUUCAUCUUGCAUUGCGUCGAAUGCAGUACGCAACCUACGGUGUAAAGUGCUGGCUUAUUUCAUAUGCCAAGUGUGUAGGUGGAUACAUGUAUUUUCUGCCUAGACAAGAUUGAGCGCGUGUUCUCCCGAUUAGUUCUAGUUCAUUGUUGAGUAUUUAUAUUGCUUGCAUUCUUACUUAUUGUUGUGAUUCAUGAAUGCUUGCCGAUGGAGCCACGGCUGUUUUGUUUGUGACUUUAUUCCAAGCAGAUAUUGCAAGUGAUUGCUUGCGCUCUGGUGAUCUUCUUACUGAGAGGCAUGCUAUUUCACAUGACUUGUUUUUAGUGUGUUGCCUAACCCAAUUUGUGUGCACAUUGCUGUAGGGUGAGCUGUGUUGUGUGAUGUUCCUUUAUGAUGAUAGACUCUGUAUUUCCUGCAUUCGGAUGCAUUUGUACCUGAGUCACCUGCUGAUGUUGAGAAUCAUUUGCUAGUUUACUUGCGUUCUAAGUUACUGGUAUGAUUCAUCAAUGCUUGCUAAGGGUGCCACCUACUGUAUUGUUUGUUAGGUAUUCUGAGCAAACAAUCCUUCUGAUUUUGUUAGUUUCUGAGCAAAAUUGGUUUCUGAACCCAUUAUAUAUCUGUCAACCUUGGCUGAGUGUUUAGUAUUGGGUGUUUUCUAGGAUACGGAUGCUUUCACAAAGUUAAUUAGCUCCGAUUCUCCAGGCAAGCAUUCAUCUUCUUUUGAUUGACAUUUGUCUUGCAUUGCGUCGAAUGCAGCAUACAACGUAUGGUGUAAAAUGCUGGCCUAUUUCAUACGCCAACCGUGUAGGCGGAUGCAUGUAUUUUCUGACUAGACAAGAUUGUGAGUGUGUGUUCUCCCGAAUUAGUUCUAGUUCAUUGUUGAGUAUAGUCUGUAAAUUCUAUGGGCAUGGUGCAUUUGGAUGCAUAAUUAAUGAACUAUUUCAUUUUAUUAAUUUUUUUGGUUCCUGCUCUAAACCAUAUGUAUUUAUUGCAUCUGCUGAUGUUGAGAUCCAUCUGCUAUAAUAUAUAGUUUACUUGGGUUCUUAGUUAUUUGUGUAAUUCGUGAAUGAUUGUUAAUGGUGCCACCAACUCUUUUGUUUUUUACCGUAUUCUCAGCAAAAAAAUCCUACCAACUGUUUUGUUUGUUAGUGCAUUCCCAGAAAAAAAUCCUUGUUUUUCUGUUUUGUCCGUUACUGUAUUCUGAGCAGAUAUAGCAGCUGAUUGUUUGAGCUCUUGUGAUCUUCUUACUGAGUGGCAUGCAAUUUCAGCUGACUUGUUUUCAGUGCGUUGCCUAGCCCAACCUGUAUGCAGACUUCUGUAAGAUGGGCUGUGCUGUGGGAUGUUCUGUUGGAAUUAACUUACUGCAUCGAGUAUACUAGUACUUACUAUUUUGUUUGUUCCCAAGAAAGAUUCUUGAUGUGUGCUUUGCUGCUUUAUGAUGAUGAAAGCUGAACCUGAAUGUCGAUGGUAUGUGUCGUCCAGAAUUAGUUCUAGUGAAUUGUUUGAGUUAGUUGUUCUUCUUUGCAAUAACGAAUUCUUGACAAGUUGGUGCCUCCUUCACAAAUUGUGUAGCUGAACAGAAACAGUUCUUUUUCUUCACUUUUGAUUUGUACUCCCUCCGUCCGGAAAUAUUUGUCAUCAAAAUGAAUUAAAAAGGAUGUAUCUAGACAUAUAUUAGUUCUACAUACAUCUCUUUUUAUCCAUUUUGAUGACAAGUAUGUUCGGACGGAGGGAGUACUAGUUUUGUUUUACGGGCAAAAAAAAAAGUACAGCUGAUCGAAUGACUGAAUCGAUUUAUCUCCCAAUCAAGUACCAUCUGUUCGAUACUACAUACUUACAAAAUUAUGCAUCGCGUUGCAGAGAUACCUCGUCAUUGGUGUCCACAAUGUCGCGGACAACUUGCAGCUGCCCCAAGUGUUUCCAAGGGUAUGUGUACAAGCGCACACAUUUAGAAUGACCUGAACCUGAUCUAUCCAGUCAGCUGGUUAAGGCUAAUUGCUUUGUUAUGUGCAGCACUUGUGACUGUUUAAUAAGGAAUGCGUUAUGCUGUUCGGGGUGCAACUGCGGUGGUGACUGCCAGAAAGACUUAUCUCUUGGAACAAUCAACCCGGCUGCUGCCCAAGGUACCACCCCAACGCUUGCCUCUGGCUCUUCUGCUGCCCAAGAUACUGCUCAAACACAACCGCUUGCACCGAGCUCUUCUACUGCCCAAGGUAUCACUCAACCACAACCACUUGCCCCGAGCUCUUCUACUGCGGCGGUGCCAAAGCCAGAGGCAGUGGUGAAGUGCAACUGCAACGUUACCAAAUGCAUAAACUGGUAUGUUCAAACACAGUGGCUGAAUUAUCUGAACCAGAUCUAUCCAGUCAACUAGUAGUAGUUAAUUGGUAUAUUAGUUGUCCAAAGCUGCCAUCUAACUGUUGCUUGAUAUAUUGCGUGCAGCCAAUGCAUAUGUUUCAAGGAGGGUUUGAGUUGCGUUAUGGGACGCUGCAAGUGCUAUGACUGCGAGAACAACCAUGAUUGGCUGGUAAGAUAUUCGUUAGAGGCCACUGCAUUCAUGAACACCGUGCUGCUCUGGUGUUUGCCAAGAACAUGAAACAAAUAUGUUGCACUUAUUCCAGGCCGACGAGGAUUACGAGGAUUGCGCGUGCAAAACCAAAAAUUGCAAAACCGGACACUGCAGUUGCAACAAGGUGCACGGUCCUUCCUUCUUGUGUAUUCGUGUCAGCUUUAUCUCCUUUGCAAAAGACUAGACAUGCUUAUUCUUUCUCUGAUCCUGACUGAGGCUAGUUGGUGCUUGUUUUGAAGAAACUGAAAGGGUGUAACCCAAAUUGCACGUGCAUAGGGUGUGAAAAUGGCUAUGGGAUGAAAGGGGGUAUGUGCAUGACACUUUCUUCUUUUAUGUGUGUUGUUUCAUUCGUAGCUUGGAUAAUCAUGCUAGUGUAAAUCUCUGUUGCUCUGCAUGUACAAAGCAGCUGAUAAGUCCAAUGCUGGACCGGGAGGUACGGGUGGCACAAGUGACGCCGGAGGCUCAGGUUCCAACAAUCAAAUAAGAAUCGGGGUAAGUUUGUGCUUCCACUUGGGAAGUUUGUUGAGAGAAAUCAUAGGUUAAUUAUGUGUAUGUCUGCCCCAAUCUGUUGAGGGAUAAGCAACUAAUCGAGGUGAUGUGCUCCUUUUGUGCAGUGAUGACAGUAGGCUUCAGACAUACGAGAGCAUGAUGCAAGUCACCUUACCUACUUAUACCAUCCUCAAGUCACCUCCUGUUCAGACAUCUCCCACUGUAAAGCACGGCCAGGUUCCUGUAGAUUCCUUGUAAUGGUUGGUUGGUUACUCGAAGCAAGCACGGCGACAACUCCAUGUUCCUCAGCCCUCAGGGGGCUCCAGUGGACCUUGAUUGAUCAGACUGAUACACUUUAGAACAUAUAUACUUCUGAGUCACGUAAGAAUAGUUGUCGUCAUCGGUCGGCGUCCAUACAUGCUGCCCGGAAAUCGGUACUUCAGUACGUUCUUAUACAUGCACAGUCUUGCAAAGGAUUUCUCUUAUACUUUAAGAAGAUUCUGGUAGUAUGAAUUUGGUUUGCAGCUUUGCAUAUUCUGGUAGUAUAAAUAUGGUUAUUCUUUGUAUAGACCAGUUACACAAGCAGCACUCUGGUUGCUUGCUUGGAACAACAAAUGACAUCUUAGAUAUUGGGAACCAUUUGGUUCAGUAAGCGUUCGGUUUUUCUCCACCGACUAAAUUCAGCACACGAGGCAUGUCCGGAAAGCUCUGAGGCCUUACUGCGAUUCCAUACCUCACACGGGUCCAGCCUAAAUGCUGGCGCACGCAGUGUGUUCUGGGCGAAAGAAUCAAGCGCACCCAAUGUAGUGCUACCGGUCCAACAGGUUUAAAUUAUUUUAUUAAAAAGUCUAUUUGCGAAUGGUGAAUGUUUUAGGAAAAACCGAAAAAGUUCAGUUGUACUCCCUUGGUUCCUAAAUAUUUAUCUUUCUAGAGAUUUCAACAAGUGACUACAUACGGAGCAAAAUGAGUGAAUCUACACUUUAAAAUAUGUCUAUAUGCAUCCGUAUGCGGUAGUCUAUUUUAAAUCUCUACAAAGACAAAUAUUUAGGAACGGAUGGAGUAGUAACAAGAUGGUGGGGUAAUAUUGGCAAUAAGUUGAUCUUACGGUUCGAUCACCAUGUGUGAGUAAUUCGGUAAGGCAAUGGGUUGAGGGCUUGAGGCAUAUCCCUGCAACCCGAUGUAUUUGUACAAAUGAUCAAUAGAAUGACUGAAUAUUUAACGUCAUGUAUGUGCUCGAUUGCAACGGAAUUGUCUCUUGUCUCUUUAUCGUUUUAAGGCCCCGUGGGUACCCAGAAUCCCGGAGAUUAAGGUAGGGAGUGAAUGCUAUUAUGAACACAAGUGACCCAAAGAUUUAGUAUGGCCGUGGAAAGCCAAUUCGUGGGGCUCUAUGAGAUGUAGUCAUUAAACAUCCAAUGUUUUUGCCUGAAUAUUUAUUCUUAAUAAUUAAGGUAAUAAGGGGUGGUUGGACAAGUGACUCUUGAUGCACGUCGCGCACUGAUCAAGACAUAAUUUAGACACAUCCCCCACAUCAUUGCUUCACAAUCACAUCUUAAUGGGUGUCUUCCAGAGCACAAAUUAAGAUCCAUCACAAAUACAUGGUUGUAAGAACACGAUCUCGUACCCAUGCAUAUUUUUAAUACUAGUGUUUACACCCCUAAGGUUGCUAAAGGUCCGGUUGAAAAAUUGGAAUUUAAUUCGUUAACACAGACUUGUUAGAGCCUUUGUCGUAGUGCACAUCCUCUUAUGGAUUCGAUAACUUAGGGUCACACCUUCGGGAAAAGGCCAAAUGAUACUUCACAAUCCGAGUCUCCACAACACAAAGUACCAUCGAUGCACAAUCUCAUGCGAGGUCGCGCAACUCAUGAACCACCGCGGGAUCGCCCAACCCGCGACAGUUCCAACAUAGGGUAUUCAUUGCUCCUGGUGUUCCUCCUCAACGAAGGCCACCGGCCAAUUCAACUUCUGAUUUAAUUGACUUGCUCGGGAAUCCCUUUCUUUGCUCUCUUAUGUUCCUGCGGUGACACAUACACUCGCGGGGGCGAGUGGAAUACCAUUUCCCUCCCUAUAGUGGCAAUGAACUGGCAACCAUGCUCUUUGAUGCAUUUGGUUCCAUCACCCCCACUAAAAUACCCGAUAGGACUAUGCGUAACAGAUAGGUUUUCAAUUAACACUACAAGAAACCUGCUUAUCUGUGACGGUUUUCGGGUGACGGUCCUACAAUCCGUCAUAGUUUAUGACGGUAUUCGGUAUGCCGUCACGGAAACUGUCACCGAUCAGUGAGCCGUUGAUGGGCCUGCGUUGGGCAUCCCCGUAAUGACGGCCUGACAUAAUCUGUCGCACAAAUCGUCAGGGAUUGAACAAUUGGGCCUGAUCAGGCUUCAUUUUUAUUAUAUAUAUAUAAGUCAGACCGUCAUGGAUUACCACUUGCGCUGAUGUGGCAUGCAUCGCCUUGUUUCGCCCACAUGUCAGUUGGAUAAUACAAAGGGAUUAAAAAAAUUGUCCGUGCAUAUUCUCAAUUAGCCUGAGAUCAGAAGAACGAACCGCUCAAUCCCCUCGGCCGUCGGUGCCGCCAGCGCCGCCGCCGACUGCCCCCUCGGCCGUCGGUGCCGCCAGCGCCACCGCUGACUGCCCGGGCGAGGGUCCUUAGAUCCGACGAGUUGGGAGUGUGGGCGCCAUCUUCCAGAUCCUGUCCAAGUCGCCGCCAACGCUGAUGAGCCAAUCGCCAACCGCCGCCCACCAUUGUCUCGUGCGUAGGAGUCAGCCGCCGGCCGCCGUUUCUGCAACAAUCACUCCUUGUUGCCCAGCCUCAACAUCGGCCCAGUUAGGUACGUCUCAGAUUAAAAUCUGAAUUUGAUCUGUUUCUGAACACUUGAGCGUACAUAGAGAAAUAAGAUGGUUUUCUCCUUGGUAUUGUUAUUCCAUUAUACUAGUUGAUUUAUUGAGCCGAAUGUCUUUUUGGGUACUGCAAACUCGAGUGGUGCUGUUCAAAAACAAAUUCCUCUUGCUGAUUCCAGUGGUGUUGAUAGACUGUAGAAUAGGAAAAGUACUUUGCAGUCACCAUGUUCUCAGUUUCUCACAGAUCACCAAUACUAUGUGUUAGUACAGACUAGCCAAUUCGUAUUGAAGUUUAUCGGUUUGAACUAAUGUACAUGUAAGAUGGAGCGAUUGUGUCGUAGCUUAUAAUAAUAUUACCAGUUAGUUAGUAGUAUCUACAUGUAAGAUGGAGAGAUUGUUAAGUUUCAGAAAUACACCUACUGGAGUAUGCUUCAGAAAUACACCUACAGUUUGUUUGUUUUUUUAGCCUAUUCAUUCCAUUAACCAAAAAGCUCAGCAACAUCGCUGGCUACCAAUUCAUGCACAAAUUCAGGGGCACCAUCCGGCCAUACGGCUGGGGAUGAGAGACCUGACACUGCACCAUACAUCGCAAGAGCAUCUGCGACUUUAUUACAUACCCUCGGGCAAUAUGAAAUGCGAAAGAAAUUAAAUUUUAAACAAGCAAAAUAUUUAAUCUCCUUGAAGAGGAUCCCAUUUAUUGCCAAAUCAAUAUUAACCUUCAGUACAUCAUAUCCUGGAGGAAUCCAUCUGUCCUGUAGCAGCGUAGUAGUAUCCUGCUUUUUCUCAACCAACAUAAUAUCCUAUAAUGCACUCUUGACUCGCUUGAUUACAGUUGUGGUAUUUCUCAGCGGCUCGCCUGCGUUCCUUUUAUUUCUCGUGUCACACCACACCCAAAGCAUCGUGAUGCACUUAAUUUUCUUUUCGUCAGGUAGCGCUAGAAUUUUGGUAACUAGCUCCUUCCGCCCCUGCUAAUCCAGAAGCCGAAUUCUUAUUUUGCUCCAAUUGCAUCUCCCUCCAUAGUGGCUUGACAUUUUUGCGUCGGUCCAUGUUCUUUCGAGCUGCUGCCUACUGGAGUAUGCUCUUUUAUAUAACUUUAUGCAAGUGAUGCACCUGGUACUAGACUCAUAAACAUGUCAAUUUUGCUAUAUGUUUGUGUUGUGAUUUUGUACAUUAUGUAACAGUAAGUGAACUUGCUUUUCCUCCUCUGUGCAAGUUGUUUUUGUAGGUCAUAUAUCUUACUAUGAAUUGAUGUUUUGCAGAGCAUGUUUCCUGGGAACUGCUAGUAAGUAUGUUUCCUCAUUGAUUAUUUACCUUUGAUUAAGUUGGUCUUUUUCUAUAAUGCAGAUGGAUAGAUCUUGGAUUCGUGGCACACUGUUCUCUCGAGAGUACGUCAAUGGUGUCAAAGAGUUUAUGAACUUAAUUCAAGCAAAAUUCAGCGAGGGUGAAGAAAUACUAUGCCCAUGUAGAGAAUGCCUUAAUCGCAAAUACUGGCAUCAAGCUGUUGUGAACAAGCACAUAUUGACGCAUGGCAGGGAAAGUACAUAUACUCGUUGGAUAUAUCAUGGAGAAGACUUCAAUGCAAAUGUUAUUGAGCAUCUUGUUGAUGUGCAUGACUCCGAGGAUGGUAACAAUGGUGCUGACCGAUUUGAAGAGAUGUUUGGCGACCUAUGCACAGCAGUACAACAAGAUCAGAAGAAAACUGAAAAUGAAGACGGUAACAAUGGUGCAAAUCCUUCUAACACUGAGUCCUUUUUGAAGAACGUGAGAAAAGAGGCAAAGCGGCACCUUUAUCAUGGUUGUACCAAGUUUUCAAGGUUCUCAUUUGUGGUGAAUCUUCUUCAUUUGAAGUCAUGCCAUAGGAUCACAAAUAGUGCAUUUACUGACAUUUUGAAGCUACUGGCUGAAGCAUUCCCUCAACCCAAUACACUCCCAAAAUCUUAUGACGAAGCAAAGAAUCUUCAAAAGGAAUUAGGCCUUGGGUAUGAGUCUAUACAUGUGUGCAUCAAUAAUUGUGUUUUGUUCAGAAAGCAAUAUGCCAAGCAUGACAACUGCCCAGUCUGUGGCAUGUCAAGGUGGAAAGACCCUGAUAGAAAGAAGAUACCACAGAAAGUUUUGAGGCAUUUUCCAUUGGUGCCUAGGCUGAAGAGGAUGUUUCUUUCCAAAAAAGCAUCAGAAGAAGCACAGUGGCACAAGCUAAAGAGGCAACCCAGUGAGAAGGAAAUGAGCCAUCCAGCUGACGGUGAUGUGUGGCAAGAUUUUGAUAAAAAAAUGUCCAAAAUUUGCAGAAGAUGCCAGAAACAUGAGGCUUGGCAUCGCCACUGAUGGGUUCAAUCCUUUCGGAAACUUUAACACAACCUAUAGUAUGUGGCCUGUAUUUGUUGUGCCAUACAACCUUCCACCUUGGGCAUGCAUGGAUCAGUCAAAUUUCAUGAUGGCUCUAUUGAUUCCAGGUCCUAAAUCACCAUGGGAAGCACUUUGAUGUCUUCUACAGCCACUUGUAGAAGAUUUAGUUGAGCUUUGGAAGGGUGUGCGUACAUAUGAUGCUCGUGAAGGAAAAAUGGUUGAUCUUCAUGCUGCAGUUCUAUGGUUCAUUCACGAUUACCCACCUCUGAGCACUCUUUCAGGGCGUACCACAAGAGGCUAUGUUGCAUGUAUUCAUUAUGACAAACACCCUCUUUCCUACGGCCUAAGGCACAAAAUUGGGUAUAUUGGCAUUAUCGUUUCCUUCCGGACAUCGUUUGCGAAGAAACAAUGAAUUUGUUGGUUUUCAUGAACGCAAUGAUGAGCAGGUAAAUUCUCAAAGGAAGAUCUACAAGCAGAAUUGGAGAAGGUUAGACCUGGGCAACAAGAAGAAAGUAGGAAAAGAAAGCGUUCUGACUUGGGCAGCAAGAAGGCUUAUGUGCCAAUUUGGAGUCGGAGGGUUUGUUUGUGGGAUUUGGAUUAUUGGGAUAAAUUGAAGCUGAGAAAUAAUCUUGAUGUCAUGCAUAUAGAGAAAAACAUUUGUGAAAACCUCAUUGGGACAAUUCGACAUGGAGGGGAAGACGAAGGACACACUUAAUGCUAGGCUUGAUCUCCAAGAUUUGAAUAUUAAAGAGGAGUUGCAUUUGAGGAAGGAUGGAAACUCAUAUGAGAUGCCUCGGGCCCGGUAUACCUUGUCUAAAGAACAAGUGGUUGCAUUUUGUCAAUUUUUACGAGAGUUAACGUUUCUAGAUGGGUUUGCUUCCAACAUAUCCAGAUGUACAAGUGCUGAUGGAACAGGUCCAAGGCCUAAAAACACAUGAUUGUCACAUUCUUUUGC
RNAcentral lists this long non-coding RNA (15780 nucleotides) under Triticum aestivum (bread wheat). Its description in RNAcentral is "long non-coding RNA (TAES_LNC010630)". The stretch from base 8196 to 8330 matches the Rfam family "MIR1120/MIR1122 microRNA precursor family". Lineage: Eukaryota; Viridiplantae; Streptophyta; Magnoliopsida; Poales; Poaceae. The record is from RNAcentral.